UAUAAAAAAUCAGAUGAAUAAAAUCUCUUCAUAAUUGGGUUUUCUCAUUUAUAUUCUAAUAAUAGGGUGUUGUUAUAUGGUUCUCUUUUUUGCAAAUGACAAGGAGAUUCAAAGUGGUGUUGACCAUUUCAAAGAGUCUGCAGUCAUUCAAGGUAGCAGGGGAAUCUGCAGUGAUGGAAAUCACCAUCCAAUUAAUGAAUGAUUAUUGACUUAAUCUCUAUGUGCUUUAUGGCACUUCAAAUGAAGAUGGAAGUGCGGUGGAAACUUCAUGGAUAGAUUGCAGGUAUGAAGACAUUUACAGCUGAGAAUUGAAGCUCGAGGGAAACUACUUGCAGUCAGUGUUGAAGAAAGCGCAAGAAACACUGCCUAAACACUUCAAAAACUGGCAUCUCUCAGUUAGUUGAUGUCCACGUGCUGUUGUAUUGGAGUUGACAGACACAGGAGGCUCAAGCUUAAAGGAUGCUAGAUGUUAUCUAAUUGAUUUUUACUAGAGAUUUUCAGAGUUAUCCUUGCAUAGACAAUGAACUUCGGGUGAGCCAUGCAAGCCCCGCAGGUUAUAGCGAGCAAACAACGAGGAUGCAUGCUCCCGCCAGCCUGCAAAAUUUAGCACAAAGCAAUCGUUGAUUAAUUUGUAGCAAAUAACACAGUCU
Molecule: long non-coding RNA, 650 nt
Organism: Populus euphratica (Euphrates poplar)
Lineage: Eukaryota; Viridiplantae; Streptophyta; Magnoliopsida; Malpighiales; Salicaceae
Exons: 3
Source: RefSeq, a predicted model, not a curated record